GAUGAAGAACGUAGCGAAAUGCGAUAAGUAGUGUGAAUUGCAGAAUUCAGUGAAUCAUCGAAUCUUUGAACGCACAUUGCGCCCCUUGGUAUCCCGAGGGGCAUGCCUGUUCGAGCGUCAUUUCACCACUCAAGCCUGGCUUGGUGUUGGGCGACGUCCCCUUUGGGGACGCGCCUCGAAACGCUCGGCGGCGUGGCACCGGCUUUAAGCGUAGCAGAAUCUUUCGCUUUGGAAGUCGGGGCCCCGUCUGCCGGAAGACCUACUCGCAAGGUUAACCUCGGAUCAGGCAGGGAUACCCGCUGAACUUAAGCAUAUCAAUAAGCGGAGGA
Molecule: unclassified non-coding RNA, 329 nt
Filed under: soil metagenome
Description: partial contains 5.8S ribosomal RNA, internal transcribed spacer 2, and large subunit ribosomal RNA
Rfam family: 5.8S ribosomal RNA (bases 1-120)
Source: RNAcentral